AUUGAACGCUGGCGGCAUGCCUAACACAUGCAAGUCGAACGGCAGCGCGGGGGCAACUCUGGCGGCGAGUGGCGGACGGGUGAGGAAUGCAUAGGAAUCUGCCCGGUUGUGGGGGAUAACGUAGGGAAACUUACGCUAAUACCGCAUACGACCUUCGGGUGAAAGUGGGGGACCUUCGGGCCUCACGCGAUCGGAUGAGCCUAUGCCCGAUUAGCUAGUUGGCGGGGUAAGAGCCCACCAAGGCGACGAUCGGUAGCUGGUCUGAGAGGAUGAUCAGCCACACUGGGACUGAGACACGGCCCAGACUCCUACGGGAGGCAGCAGUGGGGAAUAUUGGACAAUGGGCGCAAGCCUGAUCCAGCAAUGCCGCGUGUGUGAAGAAGGCCUUCGGGUUGUAAAGCACUUUUGUUCGGGAAGAAAUCCGUGUGGUUAAUACCCGUACGGGAUGACGGUACCGAAAGAAUAAGCACCGGCUAACUUCGUG
This 484-nucleotide ribosomal RNA is filed under the name uncultured bacterium. RNAcentral describes it as "partial 16S ribosomal RNA". It matches the Rfam family "Bacterial small subunit ribosomal RNA", at positions 30 to 507 of the family's 1533-position model. The record is from RNAcentral.